This 1412-nucleotide long non-coding RNA is filed under the name Homo sapiens (human). Its description in RNAcentral is "HSALNT0046256". Lineage: Eukaryota; Metazoa; Chordata; Mammalia; Primates; Hominidae. The record is from RNAcentral.
UAUGGAUGUCCUGCAGAAGCUAGGUUCUUCAUCACAGAGCUGGCCAAGAAAUCAGAGAAGCUGAAUGAUUCAGGAGAAUGCAGAGCAAUUGCAGGUGAAGCCCUGCUUCAGGAUAAAUGUGGAGCCAGGCACUGAAGACUAGCACAUUCAAAAGCAGCUGGAUGUAUGAGGGACAUUAGAACAUCACUGUACAAGCUCAGGGAAAGCCCAGGCUCAGAAAGGGCCUAAGAAUACCCUUAAGUUCAUGCUUCAGUCUGAUCCUUGGCACAGAGAUAGUGUUCAACAAACAACAAACAAAAACAAAAUAAAAAAAAAACCAGCAAACUUUGAGGAAGGGAGAGAAUCUGAUUUCUAGAGUUAACAUACCAUUAGAUUAAAAUGUCAGAUUUCCACAAAAAAUCACAAGGCAUAUAAAGAAACAGGAAUGCAUGGCUCAUUCAAAAGAAAAAACUAAACUGACAGAAACUGUUCUUAGAAAACACCUGAUGGCAGAUCUACUAGACAAAGGCUUUAAAACAACUGUCUUAAAGAUGCUCAAAGAAGUAAAGGAAGACAUGGAGAAAGUCAAGAAAAUGGUAUAUAAACAAAAUGGAAAUAUCAACAAUGUGAUAGAAAACCUAAACACAAACUGCAAAGAAAUUCUGGAACUGAAGAGUACAAUAACUGAAAUGAAACAUUCACUAGAAAGAUUCAAAUGCAGAUUUGAGUAUUUGAGCAGACAGAAGAAAGGAUCAACAAACUCAACAAACUUGAAGAUAGGAUAAUGGAAAGUACUGACUUGAGUAACACAAAGAAAUAAGAGUGAGGAAAAAUUAACAGAGCCUAAUGGACCUGUGUGAUAUAAUCAAGCUAACCAAUAUAUGCAUUGCAUGGGUCACAGAAGGAGAACAGAGAGAAGGAGAAGAGAGGCUAUUUGAAAAAUAAUGGCCAAGAACUUCUCAAAAGUAAUGAAAGACAUAAAUAUAAACAUUCAAGAAGGUAAACUAACUCCAAGUAGGAUUAACUCAAAGAGACCCAUAUUGAGACACAUUACAAUCAAACUGUUGAAAACCAAAAAAAGACAGAAAGCAGCAAGAGAGAAGCAACUUGUUAUACACAAGGAAUCCUCAAUAAGAUUUUCAGCAGAUUUCUCAUGAGAAAGUCUGGAGGCCAGCAGAAGUGGGAUGAUAUAUUUUAAGUGCUGAAAGAAAAAAACCUGUCAACCAAGAAUCUUGUAUCUGGCAAAACUGUCCUUCAAAAGUGAGGAAGAAAUUAAGACAUUUCAGAUAAACAAAAACAGAAGGAGUUUAUUACCACUAGAGCUGCCCUACAAGAAAUGCUCCAGGGAGUCCUGCAGGAUGAAAUGAAGGGACACUAGAUGGUAACUUGAAGUCAUAUGAAGAAAUAAAGGUCUUAGUUGAGGUAAGUACGUG